This 468-nucleotide ribosomal RNA is filed under the name uncultured bacterium. RNAcentral describes it as "partial 16S ribosomal RNA". It matches the Rfam family "Bacterial small subunit ribosomal RNA", at positions 31 to 507 of the family's 1533-position model. The record is from RNAcentral.
GAGGAAGGCGGGGGGCGUGCUUAACACAUGCAAGUCGAACGGAAAGGCCCUGCUUUUGUGGGGUGCUCGAGUGGCGAACGGGUGAGUAACACGUGAGUAACCUGCCCUUGACUUUGGGAUAACUUCAGGAAACUGGGGCUAAUACCGGAUAGGAGCUCCUGCUGCAUGGUGGGGGUUGGAAAGUUUCGGCGGUUGGGGAUGGACUCGCGGCUUAUCAGCUUGUUGGUGGGGUAGUGGCUUACCAAGGCUUUGACGGGUAGCCGGCCUGAGAGGGUGACCGGCCACAUUGGGACUGAGAUACGGCCCAGACUCCUACGGGAGGCAGCAGUGGGGAAUAUUGCACAAUGGGCGGAAGCCUGAUGCAGCAACGCCGCGUGCGGGAUGACGGCCUUCGGGUUGUAAACCGCUUUCGCCUGUGACGAAGCGUGAGUGACGGUAAUGGGUAAAGAAGCACCGGCUAACUACGUG